AGCCGGAGGGAAACCGAGUCUUAAUUGGGCGUUAAGUUGCAGGGUAUAGACCCGAAACCCGGUGAUCUAGCCAUGGGCAGGUUGAAGGUUGGGUAACACUAACUGGAGGACCGAACCGACUAAUGUUGAAAAAUUAGCGGAUGACCUGUGGCUGGGGGUGAAAGGCCAAUCAAACCGGGAGAUAGCUGGUUCUCCCCGAAAGCUAUUUAGGUAGCGCCUCGUGAAUUCAUCUCCGGGGGUAGAGCACUGUUUCGGCUAGGGGGCCAUCCCGGCUUACCAACCCGAUGCAAACUGCGAAUACCGGAGAAUGUUAUCACGGGAGACACACGGCGGGUGCUAACGUCCGUCGUGAAGAGGGAAACAACCCAGACCGCCAGCUAAGGUCCCAAAGUCAUGGUUAAGUGGGAAACGAUGUGGGAAGGCCCAGACAGCCAGGAUGUUGGCUUAGAAGCAGCCAUCAUUUAAAGAAAGCGUAAUAGCUCACUGGUCGAGUCGGCCUGCGCGGAAGAUGUAACGGGGCUAAACCAUGCACCGAAG
This 537-nucleotide ribosomal RNA is filed under the name Salmonella enterica subsp. enterica serovar Typhimurium. RNAcentral describes it as "partial 23S ribosomal RNA". It matches the Rfam family "Bacterial large subunit ribosomal RNA", at positions 664 to 1199 of the family's 2925-position model. Lineage: Bacteria; Pseudomonadati; Pseudomonadota; Gammaproteobacteria; Enterobacterales; Enterobacteriaceae. The record is from RNAcentral.